RNAcentral lists this non-coding RNA (243 nucleotides) under Bacilli bacterium. RNAcentral's name for it is "T-box sequence". It matches the Rfam family "T-box leader". From Rfam's summary of the family: Uncharged tRNA acts as the effector for transcription antitermination of genes in the T-box leader family. Lineage: Bacteria; Bacillati; Bacillota; Bacilli. The record is from RNAcentral.
AAUAAAUCGUUGAAUAAGAGUAGUAAGCAAAAUCAUCGUGACUCAGAGAACUGGUGAUGGUGGAAAUCCAGUACACGAUCUUUGCUGAAUGGACUUAUGAGAGGUUUCCUGAAAUAAAGUGAAUGUUCGCUUCUUGAACAAUCUUUUAAGUAGGGAAACACGUGAUUCCGACGUUAACGGAAAAAGUGGAAAAGAUAACAUCUUUUCAACUGGGGUGGCACCGCGACCAAAUUCGUCCUCAGG